RNAcentral lists this ribosomal RNA (1178 nucleotides) under Corynebacterium sp. 2CTGx. RNAcentral describes it as "bacterial SSU rRNA". It matches the Rfam family "Bacterial small subunit ribosomal RNA", at positions 310 to 1508 of the family's 1533-position model. Lineage: Bacteria; Bacillati; Actinomycetota; Actinomycetes; Mycobacteriales; Corynebacteriaceae. The record is from RNAcentral.
CAAUUGGGGUUAACCCUCGCCCAAAUUCCUAGGGAGGCACCAUGGGAAUUAUACCCCAAUGGCCCAACCUUAAUCAAGGACCCCCCCGGGGAAUAAAGCCUUCCGGUUUUGAAAUCCUUUCACCCGUUUUUAACCUUAUGUGACGGUAGUGGUAGAAGAAGCUCCGGCUAACUACGUGCCAGCAGCCGCGGUUAUACGUAGGGUGCGAGCGUUGUCCGGAAUUACAGGGCGUAAAGAGCUCGAAGGUGGUUUGUCGCGUCGUCUGUGAAAUUCCGGGGCUUAACUCCGGGCGUGCAGGCGAUACGGGCAUAACUUGAGUGCUGUAGGGGAGACUGGAAUUCCUGGUGUAGCGGUGAAAUGCGCAGAUAUCAGGAGGAACACCAAUGGCGAAGGCAGGUCUCUGGGCAGUAACGGGGGUUCUGAAGAGCGGAAUCAUGGGUUGCGUACAUGGUUAGAAAGGCUAGUAUUACAAGCCGAAAACCUUGGGCGCUCCGCGCGGGGGUCGUCCUCGACAUCAGUGCCGUAACUUACGCAAUAAGCCCCCCGCCUGGGGAGUACGGGCGCAAGGCUAAAACCCAAAGGAAUUGACGGGGGCCCGCACAAGCCGGCGGAGCCUGUGGAUUAAUUCGAUGCACGCGAAGACCUUACCUGGGCUUGACAUAUGCCGGAUCGGCGCAGAGAUCCCUUUUCCCUUGUGGCGUAUACAGGUGGUGCAUGGUUUUCGUCCCUCGUUUCCUGAGAUUUUGGGGUAAGUCCCGCAACGAGCGGAACCCUUGUCUUGUGUUUCCAGCACGUUAUUGUGGGGACCCGCGAGAGGCCUUCCGGGGUUAACCCGGAGGAAGGUGGGGAUGACGUCAAAUCAUCAUGCCCCUUAUGUCCAGGGCUUCACACAUGCUACAAUGGUCGGUACAGUGGGGUUGCUACACCGUGGAGGUGGUGCUAAUCCCUUAAAGCCGGUCUCAGUUCGGAUUGGAGUCUGCAACUCGACUCCAUGAAGUCGGAGUCGCUAGUAAUCGCAGAUCAGCAACGCUGCGGUGAAUACGUUCCCGGGCCUUGUACACACCGCCCGUCACGUCAUGAAAGUUGGUAACACCCGAAGCCAGUGGCCCAAACUCGUUAGGGAGCUGUCGAAGGUGGGAUCGGCGAUUGGGACAAAUCUAACAAGGUAGCCGUAGAAA